UGGGGAAUAUUGGGCAAUGGGCGAAAGCCUGACCCAGCAACGCCGCGUGAGGGAAGAAGGUUUUCGGAUUGUAAACCUCUGUCCUAAGGGACGAAGGAAGUGACGGUACCUUAGGAGGAAGCCCCGGCUAACUACGUCGCC
This 141-nucleotide ribosomal RNA is filed under the name uncultured bacterium. RNAcentral describes it as "partial 16S ribosomal RNA". It matches the Rfam family "Bacterial small subunit ribosomal RNA", at positions 355 to 509 of the family's 1533-position model. The record is from RNAcentral.